Molecule: ribosomal RNA, 729 nt
Filed under: uncultured bacterium
Lineage: Bacteria
Description: bacterial SSU rRNA
Rfam family: Bacterial small subunit ribosomal RNA
Source: RNAcentral
GGCAUCACUUUAAUAGUAUAGCUCCGGCGGUUUUGGAUGGGCGUGCGCCCUGAUUAGGUAGUUGGUGAGGGUAACGGCCCACCAAGCCUGCGAUCAGUAACUGGUGUGAGAGCACGACCAGUCACACGGGCACUGAGACACGGGCCCGACUCCUACGGGAGGCAGCAGUAAGGAAUAUUGGUCAAUGGACGCAAGUCUGAACCAGCCAUGCCGCGUGAAGGAUGAAGGUCCUCUGGAUUGUAAACUUCUUUUAUAUGGGACGAAACCUGGGAAUUCCUUCCCAAUUGACGGUACCAUAAGAAUAAGCACCGGCUAACUCCGUGCCAGCAGCCGCGGUAAUACGGAGGGUGCAAGCGUUAUCCGGAUUCACUGGGUUUAAAGGGUGCGUAGGAGGGUAGGUAAGUCAGUGGUGAAAUCUUCGAGCUUAACUCGGAAACUGCCGUUGAUACUAUCUAUCUUGAAUACCGUGGAGGUGAGCGGAAUAUGUCAUGUAGCGGUGAAAUGCUUAGAUAUGACAUAGAACACCAAUUGCGAAGGCAGCUCGCUACACGAAUAUUGACUCUGAGGCACGAAAGCGUGGGGAUCAAACAGGAUUAGAUACCCUGGUAGUCCACGCCCUAAACGAUGGAUACUCGACAUACGCGAUACACAGUGUGUGUCUGAGCGAAAGCAUUAAGUAUCCCACCUGGGAAGUACGACCGCAAGGUUGAAACUCAAAUGAAUUGACGG